This 66-nucleotide transfer RNA is filed under the name Planctomycetaceae bacterium. Its description in RNAcentral is "tRNA-Asn". It matches the Rfam family "tRNA", at positions 5 to 66 of the family's 71-position model. From Rfam's summary of the family: Transfer RNA (tRNA) molecules are approximately 80 nucleotides in length. Their secondary structure includes four short double-helical elements and three loops (D, anti-codon, and T loops). Further hydrogen bonds mediate the characteristic L-shaped molecular structure. tRNAs have two regions of fundamental functional importance: the anti-codon, which is responsible for specific mRNA codon recognition, and the 3' end, to which the tRNAs corresponding amino acid is attached (by aminoacyl-tRNA synthetases). tRNAs cope with the degeneracy of the genetic code in two manners: having more than one tRNA (with a specific anti-codon) for a particular amino acid; and 'wobble' base-pairing, i.e. permitting non-standard base-pairing at the 3rd anti-codon position. The record is from RNAcentral. Lineage: Bacteria; Pseudomonadati; Planctomycetota; Planctomycetia; Planctomycetales; Planctomycetaceae.
GGUUAGCUCAGUUGGUUAGAGCACCAGGCUGUUAACCUGGCUGUCACGGGUUCGACUCCCGUACCA